UUACAGAAGUUUAUUCCGAAAUGUCUCAACUUGGAAGCAACUAAGGUGUCCUUAACUAGAUGAAUGGAUUAACAAACUGUGGUAUGUUUAGACAGUGGAAUAUUAUUCAGCUAAAAAGAAAUGAGGAGUUCCUGUUGUGGCUCAGCGGUUAACGAACCUGACUAGCAUCCAUGAAGAUGCCGGUUUGAUCCCUGACAGUGGGUUAAGGAUCUGGCGUUGCCUUGACCCGUGGUGUAGGUCGCAGACUCAGCUCAGAUCUUGUGUUGCUGUGGCUGUGGUGUAAGCUGGCAGCUGUAGCCUGGAUUGGACCCCUAGCCUAGGAAUCUCCAUAUGCUGUGGGUAUGACCCCAAAAAGACAAAAUAAAAAAUAAAAAAUGAGGAGUUCCCAUCGUGGCGCAGUGGUUAACGAAUCCGACUAGGAACCAUGAGGUCGCGGGUUCGGUCCCUGCCCUUGCUCAGUGGGUUAAGGAUCCGGCGUUGCCGUGAGCUGUGGUGUAGGCUGCAGACGCGGCUCGGAUCCCGCGUUGCUGUGGCUUUGGUGUAGGCCGGUGGCUACAGCUCCGAUUAGACCCCUAGCCUGGGAACCUCCAUAUGCCGCGGGAGCGGCCCAAGAAAUAACUAAAAAGACAAAAAAAAAUAAAAAUAAAAAUAAAAAAUGAAAAGAAAUGAACUAUCAAGCCAGGAAAAGACAUGGAGGAAACCUAAAUCUAUAUUACUAAGUGGAAGAGGCCGAUCUAAAAAGGCUGCACACUGGAUGACUGCUACUAUAUGACAUUCUAGAGAAGGCAAAACUAUGAAGACCAUAAAAAGAUCAGUGGUUGCCUGGGGUUAGGGAGGAGGGAAGAAUGAAUAAGAAGAGCACAGAUUUGUAGUGCAGUUAAAAAUAAUUCUGUAUGAUAACAUAAAUGUGGAUACAUGUCAUUAUACAUUUGUCCAGAUCCAUAGAAUGUAUAACACCAAUUGCGGAUCCUAGUGUAAACUAUGGAUUUGGGGUGAUAAUGAUGUGUAAGUGUAGGUUAGGUUCAUUGAUUGUAGCAUAUGUAGCACUCUGAUGCAGGAUGCUAAUAGGGGUAGGAUGUUGAUAGCGGGAAAGGCUGUGUUGGAGGAAUAACAGAUACAUGGCAACUCUCAGUAAUUCAUACUCAAUUUUGCUGUGAAUCUAAGACUUCUCUAAAAAAAUUCUAUUAAAAAUAGUAUAUAUAGAAGUUCCCUGGUGGCUUAGUGGGUUAAGGAUCCAGCAUUGUUACUGCUGUGGCACAGGUUCAAUCCCUAGCCUGGGAACUUUCCCAUGCCGAGGCUGUGGCCCCAAAAGAUAAACAAACAGGGAGUUCCCCUCAUGGCUCAGUAGUUAACAAACCCAACUCGGAUCCAUGAGGGUGCAGGUUUGAUCCUCAGCCUUGCUCAGUGAGUUAAGGAUCCAGUGUUGCUGUGAGCUGUGGGAUAGGCCAGCAGCUGUAGCUCUGACUCGACCCCAAGCCUGGAAACUUCCAUAUGCUGCAGGUGCGGCCCUAAAAAGCAAAAAAAAAAAAAAGAGAUAAACAAACAAAUGCAUAAACAAAAGUAAAAGGCAAAAGACAAAUUGGGUAAAUAUUACAGACAUAUAUGAUAGCUAUAUUUAACUAAGGAUAUUAGAAUCUUAAAAAGCUACUAUGAAAUUCUUAGGAAAUAAAAUAAAUACUACAAUAGACAAAUGAACAGAAAGACAACUAACAGAAUACAACUAAAGAUAAAAGACAACUAAUAGUAAAAAUUGAAUGAUACUGAUCCCCAGUAGUAAUCAAAUAAACAAAUUUAAAAUAAAUAGAUAACAUUAAGAAUGGCAGACUUAUUUUCCCAAGAUGAUGCCAAAUAUGGGCACGGGUAUAUGAAAAAAUACCUUCUCCUCCGUUGUUGGGGAUGGAAUAAAUUGGCAAUUUUCUGGAGUCUGUACUUAUCAAAAAUCCUUUUUUUUUUUUUUCUUUUUUGGCGGCACCUGUGGCAUGCAAAAGUUCCUCAUCCAGUGAUCAAAGUUGUGCCACAGCAGUGACAAUGCCAAGUCCUUAACCACUAGGCCACAAGAGAACUCUGUAUUUAUUCAAAAAUCUUGAAAAUGCACUUCAAGACUUCUGCUUCUCAACAUCAUCCUUAAGGUGAAAUGAUUGAUUUCCCUCUAAGAUCAGGAACAGGGUAAAGAUGUCCACUCAUACCAUUUCUCCUUAACAGUGUGCCAGAGGCUCUAGUUAGUACAGUAAGGCAAGAAAAAGAAAAGUAUCCAGAUAGGAUAGGAAGAAGUAAAGCUGUCUUUAUUUGCAGAAAAUAUGAUCAUCUAUGUAGAAAAUUCUAUAGAAUCUAUCAAAAAAAUCUACUAGAACUAAUGAGUUUAGCAAAGUUGUUGGGUAUAAGACAUAAAUUUUUAUUAUAUUUUUAUAUAUAAGAUGAAUUUAUUUUUAUCAAUAUUUUGCUUUUGCUUUAUAGCACCACACGUGUGGCAUGUGGAAGUUCCCAGUUUAUUUUUAUUUUUAUUUAUUUUUUGUCUUUUUUUGCUAUUUCUU
Molecule: long non-coding RNA, 2531 nt
Filed under: Sus scrofa (pig)
Lineage: Eukaryota; Metazoa; Chordata; Mammalia; Artiodactyla; Suidae
Description: lncRNA (ENSSSCG00040019616.1)
Rfam family: tRNA (bases 1208-1281)
Source: RNAcentral